GUCACUGAGGAAGAGGUGGCCUUGGUGGGU
RNAcentral lists this non-coding RNA (30 nucleotides) under Rattus norvegicus (Norway rat). The record is from RNAcentral. Lineage: Eukaryota; Metazoa; Chordata; Mammalia; Rodentia; Muridae.